UACGAGAGGCCCAAACGUUAUUCGGAAUUACUGGGCUUACAGAGUUCGUAGGCGGCUCAGAAAGUUGGGUGUGAAAUCCCUCGGCCCAACCGAGGAAUUGCGCUCAAAACUACUGAGCUUGAGGGGUAUAGAGGUAAGCGGAACUGAUGGUGGAGCGGUGAAAUGCGUUGAUAUCAUCAGGAACACCGGUGGCGAAGGCGGCUUACUGGGUACCUCCUGACGCUGAGGAGCGAAAGCGUGGGGAGCGAACAGG
This 253-nucleotide ribosomal RNA is filed under the name uncultured bacterium. RNAcentral's name for it is "partial 16S ribosomal RNA". It matches the Rfam family "Bacterial small subunit ribosomal RNA", at positions 524 to 776 of the family's 1533-position model. The record is from RNAcentral.